GGAAAAAUGGCAAGGUCGUCCAAGACAUCACUCUGAAGCUGAGCAAGGUUGACAGUGGCCUGAUCGUGCUGCAGCUGGAGUGGGUUCACGUCCCAGGUGUUACCCUCUGAGCAGUGUCCGAUGGUCGUCGAUGGAGCUGCAGGUGCAGCUGGUCUCUGAAUGUGAUAUUGUAGACUAUGCGUGUGGACGUUGUUUGCAAUGUGUACCUCCGAUAUGUG
Molecule: unclassified non-coding RNA, 218 nt
Filed under: Hevea brasiliensis (rubber tree)
Lineage: Eukaryota; Viridiplantae; Streptophyta; Magnoliopsida; Malpighiales; Euphorbiaceae
Source: RNAcentral